Molecule: long non-coding RNA, 5094 nt
Filed under: Malus domestica (apple)
Lineage: Eukaryota; Viridiplantae; Streptophyta; Magnoliopsida; Rosales; Rosaceae
Description: long non-coding RNA (MDOM_LNC014016)
Source: RNAcentral
UUUCACCUCUAUUUAAUUAAUCAAUUUCUCAUUACGGUGAAAAAAAUGGUACUGGAGUUGUUUACAUGAGAUGAAGAAAUAUGAAAACUAAAACAUUUGAGGUUUAUAUAACAUACUAGUAUUUUCACACGUACAUGCGAGAAACCUAUUUUUAGUAAAUAAUUCCCAAGAAAUUCUUUUUCUUUUUGAUCCCAAGGAAUCCUAUUUAGAAAUAUAACUUCAUUAAGAAAAAAUAAGUCAAUAAAUUAUAUUCUUUUAGCUACACCUCAAUUAAGUAAUAACCUUCUUAAAGAUAGAAAAUUUGUAACGCCCCGGUCCCGAAAUAUUUACUUUAUUUCGAGAAAUAAUAAAUUUAGUGAUAGGCCCAAACUAAACUCUCGUUUCAUUUGCUACUAUUUCUAUUAUCUUACUUCUAAAUCUCCAACAAUUUAAUUCUUAUAAAAUUAACCAUGUUUUUAAUUGCCAUAACAAUCAAUUAAGAUAACAACUUUGUUAAUGCACAAAACUGGAGGGGUCUUGGAACAACGUAAAUCCGACCGCGAAUCUGCAAGAAAGUAAAGAACGCAAGAUGUAUCGUGGUUCACCCCAAUGUUUGGGCUAAGUCCACACUGAUGUUGAUUGUAUUUCUCUCUAACUGUAUGUAUGGAUUACAAGGGUGAAGGGGAGUCCCUUAGAGAAAGAGAGGGUUUGAGAGAGCUUCUCUGUGAGGAUGAGAGCUCUGUUUAGGGGAUGUGAGGCUUGAGGUUUGUGAAGGUGAGGAGGCCAUUUUAUAGAAUAAGGGCUCCUCACUUAUUACAUAUUUGCCCCUCCAUUUAUUACAUAAUUACAUUUGAGUCUCCCGAGUAUUUAUACGAGAUCUAAAUACGGAGGCCCAAAGUAUGGUAUAAACAGUAGUUCGCCAAGUCUUCAGUCAAGAGAGUGUUUUGGCUGGAGACUUGAAAUUUAGUCCAUAUGUUGGCCAAAGUAAGUAAAUGUCGUCUAGAACUGAUACUCGAUAUAAGGCGGUGCUCAAAUGUGAAAUGAUGCUCAACUAAAAGUAGCACAUGUUGCGAGGCUGCUCGGAUUGUGGCUUAUGUUGCCUUGGUUGGCUCGGCUUGUGGUAUUGAAGGUGAAUGAGUCCCUUUUAUAGAAUAAGGGCUCGCUCCUCAAUACAGAAGUGAUGGGUUAGGAGUGAUGCUCGCGGCAAGGCGGUUGCUCAGCUGGCGACGAUGCUCUCUAAUGAUGGUGAAGGAGUCCCUUUUAUAGAAUAAGGGCUCGCUCCUCAAUACAUAAGUGAUGGGUUAGAGUUGAUGCUCGCGGCGAGACGGUUGCUCAAUAGGCGGCGAUGCUCUCUAAUGAUGGUAAGGGAGUCCCUUUUAUAAAAUAAGGGUUCGCUCCUCAAUACAUAAAUGAUGGGUUAGAAUUGAUGCUCGGGCGAGGCAGUUGCUCAGUAGGCGGCGAUACUCUCUAAUGAUGGUGAGGGAGUCCCUUUUAUAAAAUAAGGGCCCGCUCCUCAAUACAUAAAUGAUGGGCUAAGAGUGAUGCUCGCGGCGAGGCGGUUGCUCAAUAGGCGACGAUGCUCUCUAAUGAUGGUGAGGGAGUCCCUUUUAUAGAAUAAGGGCUCACUCCUCAAUACAUGAAUAAUGGGUGCUCUCUAAUGAAAGUGAGGGAGUCUAUUUUAUAGAAUAAGGGUUCACUCCUCAAAACAUAAAUAAUGGGCUAAGUCCCCCAAGUAUUUUUCAUGAGGCCCAGUUGCGGAAGCCCAAUAUAUGAUACAUAGUGUAGUCCCCCAAGUCUUUAGUCAAUAAAGGCUGUUGGCUGGAGACUUCAAAUUCAAUCCAUGUAUGGGCUAAAGUGGGGGUUGUUCGGAGACGGUCUUUGUAUACCAUGCACUGAAGUUUUGUAGGUGAAGCUUUGAAAGUGAAGUUUUGAAGCUGGAGCUUUUGUAAAUGAAGCUUUGAAAUCGGAGCUUUCGUAAAUGAAGCUUUUGAAGCUGGAGCUCUUGUUAAUGAAGCUUUUGAAGUUGGAGCUCUAUAAAUGAAGCUUUCAAAGCUGAUUGACAUGAGUAAUGCUCAUGAAUGUUUAUGUUGAUGGACAUGAGUGAUGCUCAUGGAUGUUGACAUAAGUGAUGCUCAUGCAUGUUGACAUGAAUGAUGGUAAUGAAUUUUAUGUAUGAUUGACAUGAGUGAUGCUCAUGAAUGUUUAUGUAUGAUUGACAUGAGUGAUGCUCAUGUAUAAUUUUGGAGUACUGGACGUACUUUUGAUUACCUAGUGGGUGAUAAUAGCGACAGGCUGUCGAAUAAUUUUAGAGUAAUGGGCGUACUUUUGAUCACCUGAUUGGUGAUAAUAGCGGCAUGCUGCUGAAUAAUUUUGGAGUACUGGACGUACUUUUGAUCACCUGGUUAGUGAUAAUAGCGGCAGGGUGCCGAAUAAUUUUGGAGUACUGGACAUAAUUUUGAUCACCUGGUUGGUGAUAAUAGCGGCAAGCUGCCAAAUAAUUUUAAAGCCAUAGGGUCUAGCUCUUUUGGGCAUAUGGGCCUUCGCCCUCCACAUAACACUCCAGCCCAUUAUUUUGGGUUUGUCGUUUUUUUUUUUGGGCAUGCUGCCUUCUUUCUUUAUUUAUGAUUACCCUCUGUUGGGGUUAUACAUAUGUCUCCAAAAGAUAAGCAAAGUAAAUGACAUCAUUCAAAAAAAGGUUUCGAAAGUUGCAGAUCGUUGGUGCGUACUGGGUUGUUGCAAAUCUUUUUCCAUGUGCGUAUUCCAGUGGCUUCUUCAGAAAAGUUGGAACAUGCAUGACGAAAGUUUUCUUUUUCAAAAGUUGAUGGCAUCUUUGCUUGCCUUUACCGCACCCAAUUGUUCAAAACCUCCCUUUAUUCCUUGCUUUUGCAUGUUGGUGGUCGACAACGCGCUCCUCAUCAGUACCUCAAACACCAACUUAACAUCUUAAAUACUUUGGAGUAUUCAGUGGUUGUGGUGGGGUUCUAUCUUCAAAAUCCACAGCUCCAUCUCCCUUCCUAUCAACCCUUUUAAUCAUCUUCCGAUACUCUUUCAGCCUACAUUUUUGGCAUCCAAGGCUCACCAAAACCUUCUGCAACUCCUCGCCUGAAAUUUUCCUGUUCUUAUCUGUGUCGAAAAUAUGAAAAGCAUCCAUGAGUUCACAAUCUUCUUCCUCAUUCCAAACCCAACAUUAUUCCUUUGUGGCGAUCGACUUCUUGUAUCCGAGGCACGAGAGCAUGUCGCUCAGCUCGAGAGGGGAGAUUUUCCUGUCCCCGUUUGCAUCCAUGACUUUAAACACUUGGUUAAACUGGUUGGAGACUUCCAUGGCUGCAAAAGAUGAGGUUCCAGCUGUUGGCGCAUUAAAGAUGGAAGAAAGUUUUGGUGGUUUUCUUUUCUUGCAUCCACUUGUCAUCAUUUGGAUGGCUGAUUCCAAGAAAAUUCUGAUACAACUCAUUGUAGUUGACAAAAUUGUGUGAUAAGAGAGGGUAGAUUUAUUGGCUCUGUCAAUGACGGCAAUAAUGGGUCGUAGGGUCGCGGCUGAUGGGUUCAGACUGGUUGGGUCGGGCUCGAACUGGGUUUGAGUUUUGUGGGUCGAACCAGGUGUUUGGGUUUGGAGCUAGAGCUUCUAUUAGAUCAGUGAAGCUUUCUUCCCCAAGAAAUCAAACAACCCGCGAUCCUUGGUCUCGCCUGCACCAAAUCCUUCCUUGUAAUCCCCACUCUUCCUCUCGUACUUGUGUUCUUGGCUCUUGUUGUACUCCUCCGGUGCCUGCACCAGAUCCUGUUUCUGAGUAAUCUCCUCCGGUGCCAGGACCAGCAGCUCAUCCCGGGCCAUUUCCAGAGCUAACAUAUCUCCAAUUAGGAAAAGCUGCUUAUUGAGAAAUCAGAUUAAGGAAUAUGGGGAAGUGGGAAAGUGGAAAGCUUUGAACUUUUUGUGAAUCAAUCAAUUGGGUUUGUUGGUGGAUUGAGAAAUUUGGAGAAUUCAUGGGUUUUGGAGGAUUGGGAUUGAGAAAUUUGGAUAUGUGGUUUUUAGGUGAGCAAAUUCACGGUGGAGGUGAAAAAAAAUGAAAGAACCGCCAUAGCUUUUCGUGUCGAUUCCCAUAGACGGCGCUAAAUGUUGAUGCACAAAACCGGAGGGGUCUUGGAACAACGUAAAUCCGACCGUGAAUUUGCAAGAAAGUAAAGAACGCAAGAUGUAUCGUGGUUCACCCCAAUGUUUGGGCUACGUCCACACUGAUGUUGAUUGUAUUUCUCUCUAACUGUAUGUAUGGAUUACAAGGGUGAGGGGGAGUCCCCUAGAGAAAUAGAGGGUUUGAGAGAGCUUCUCUGUGAGGAUGAGAGCUCUGUUUAGGGGAUGUGAGGCUUGAGGUUUGUGAGGGUGAGAAGGUCCUUUUAUAGAAUAAGGGCUCCUCACUUAUUACAUAUUUGCCCCUCUAUUUAUUACAUAAUUACAUUUGAGUCCCCCGAGUAUUUAUACGAGAUCUAAAUACGGAGGCCCAAAGUAUGGUAUAAACAAACUUAAUUCCCCAAAUUCUUCUAUCAAGCCACCUCUAAUUCAAAGAUUAAUUCUUGGAUAUUUAAUCUUACUGGUAUUAUGGCUGCAUCUAACAUCUUGUUAGACUGCCUACGUACCCUAAACAGGGAUGAAGCUAUUCGUAGUUCACAAAUCCAAAUUCACUUAAACUUUGAUAUUUCUACACAUAACUAACAAUCACCAUCUAGCUUCAAACAAUUGUAUUACAUUAAAUGCUUAAUAAAUUUAGUUUCAGAACAACAGAAUUAGCCUAAACAUACGACGUCGGCUCCCAGGCCACACGCCACCGCACGUGCAGCCGCCGGUUGCGGUCGGCCGCCCCGAUUCGCAGGAAAAUAACAACUAUCUCCAAAAAUCACCAAAUUUUACAGGAAAGUAGAUCUCAGUGAGAGGAACAACUUUCAUACCUGAGACCAAGCCCAAUUUGGCCGGGAAACACCUCAAAUCGGCCACGAACCGCCAAAAACCCUUAAAUUUGGGUGUGUUCAAUUCAACCUCAAAGUAACUCUGACGCCCCUAAACUUGUUUGGGCUUUGUUCCACCCCUCAAAAGGAGUCUAAUGGUGGUAGUAAGAGCAACUCCAGCGU